CUUCUUAUGUCAGAUUUUUGUAAAUAUUCAUUAUCUUUACAAACUGCAUCGGAAUUAUCCCAUCUUCUCUGAGAGUUUCUUCCAUGCUCAGCAGACCCAUGUCCCUUUUCUCUGCCACUAUCCCUUCUAUCCGAAUACCUAGAAUUCCUUUCUUGAGCCUCUUCAACAUUAAAAUCGUGAUCUGAGCACUUAGAAGUAGAUGUCUUUCUGUCUCUUUCAUUGGCUCUACUAUGUCCUCUACUCCAGAUUUGUCCCCACUCUCACGUUUAUUCUCUGCUUCUCAAUCUUGAUACCAACUGCUCAUUUUUUCCAAGGCAUUUACUUCUAUUUUUUUCUUCAACUGCUUAAAGAACUCCUUUCUAGCUUCAUAGCCAUCCUGAUUGCAGUCAGCUCUGCUCGAACCAGCCACUCUUUUUCGACUCUCGUGUCUGUCAGUUGCACUUCUUUUUCUAGCACUAUGAUCCAAACCAUCAGCGUCUUCACCGCUUCCAGGUUUCGUUGACUUGUUUGACCGGAGCUUUCUUUUAUCAUCACCAUCCCACUAAUCAUCCUCACCGACGCUAUCAAUGUUCAUCGCUACAUCCUCAUCUACAUCCUGUUUUGGAGAACUUGUGCAAUCAGGUGAACCCAUUGGCAUAAAGAGACCCUCAAACAAUCAAUCUCUUAGCUUUAUAAGCAAAAAAUUCGAUCUUAUCACAAAUAAUCAGCAGACAAGAAACAUCCAGAGAAAUUGCAAAAAAAGAAGUUAGAAUAGGAAAUCAUAUCUAUAUAUUUUACACGCUGAUGGCACAUACAUUAUCAAAGGAUUUGACGUCUGAGAAACAGUGAGACCUUGCAAUAGUUUUAAACAGAUACCAAAAACAUAUAAGCACAUAAAAUUCGAAAAUUGAGUUCAUGCCACUGUCUUUUAUGGAGCAGAAACCACAAAUAGUCAGUGUAGAAGAGAAAACAAAAAAAUGUAAUCCCACAGCAAUUAGAGAGAAGAAAAAUAAAACAAAAACCUUUAUCUUGUUCCUUCUUUUCUCUAUUUGUUGACGUCAAGCUCUAAGUGAUUUUUUCAGAUUCUGAAAUGAACCAAUUUAUAAUACAUCUCAGUAAAGAAAAUAUGUUAACCCUAGAUAUUUAAGGCCAACAGGAAAUAAAUAGUAUCAUCUCUGUCAUGACUCUGAAACCAAUUUCAUCCUUGCGCAAGUAAUAAUUAGCCCAAAUUUAAAAUUUAAAGACCAAAUUAAAACAGGGUAAUAAUGAACUUAAAAAUUGAGUAUUGAAAUUAAAAUAUAAAUAUCAGAUUCGCAUGCCAAGAGCGGACGAGGGCCAAAAAUUAAGGCAAAAUUAGACUAACAAUAAAUGGCAACUACAACGUACACAAAUUAAGCAAUGCCUAUUUCCAACUCAUUCACAUUAAUUCAAUUAGCUUGAAGUAAAAAGUGAAAACAAAACAUACAAAUUAUGCUCCAGUUUUUUAUAGAGAGAGAAGAUUACUCC
RNAcentral lists this long non-coding RNA (1485 nucleotides) under Olea europaea (common olive). RNAcentral's name for it is "long non-coding RNA (OEUR_LNC008382)". Lineage: Eukaryota; Viridiplantae; Streptophyta; Magnoliopsida; Lamiales; Oleaceae. The record is from RNAcentral.